UUGCUACAACUUCCACGGAUUUCUGUCAAACCUUUGCUACCAUCUACCACAGAUCCAAAACUUUCAACCACAGCCCUAAAACUCUACAAAACCACACCCUCAAACUGCACCCAAAACUGUCACAAAACAAGCCUAAAUCAUAGCCUACAUCCACCAAUCCACCAACCCUUUUGACCAUCACUUCUCUCAACCUAUACAUGCCUUUAACCUAACAACAAAAGAGAGAUCUUAACAUCAUAGAUUCGGAGGCAUAUAUUAUGGCAUCUAAGGAGGUAAUCAAUGCUAAAUUCGAAGCUUUGGAGGCGCGAAUGGAGGAUAAGAUUCGGAUGCUCUUUACCGAACUCAGAUUGGGCCGACCACUAAGCCCGAAGAAAUCACAUCAAGGAGAGAGCUUUGCCCAAUCAUACCAACCCCAAAGAUAUGACUUCCAAGAGAGGGGAAGCUCUAUGACCAACCCCAACUAUCCAUGCAUGAGAGUGGACUUCCCUAGAUGGGAAGAAGGAGACCCGAUUGGUUGGAUCUCACGCGCGGAGCGAUAUUUUCGGUACCACAAAAUCGCGGAUGUAUCUAUGGUGAAAAUUGCAGCUAUACAUCUUGAAGGGGAUGCUAUACAGUGGUUUGACUGGUUUGAACAUACUUAUGGAGUCCUUUCAUGGCGACAAUUCAAAGAAGGACUGCUGAUUCGCUUCAGACCAACCGAUUACGAGAAUAUUGACGAACAACUAGCAAAGAUCCAACAAACCUCCACCAUUUAGGAGUACCAAACCAGGUUUGAAAGGUUAUCUAAUCAAACUCAUGAUUGGUCUCAAAAACAGCUAUUGUGGACCUUCAUUGAGGGCUUGAAGCCGGAGAUCCGAGGAGAAGUUAAAGCGCGACAACCAUAUACGCUUAUGGCAGCCAUCUCUUUCGCACGACAUCAAGAGGAACAAUUGAACCAUGAAGCUCGGAGGACUAGGGUCUCUCCUCAACCAGUAAUAUUGAAGCCCUUAGCCCCCCUUACUGUCGACCAAGUCCCUACACUAAAGAGGUUAACAAGAGAAGAGCUUCGGGAGCGAUAUGCGAAGGGGUUAUGUUGGCAUUGUGACGAGCCGUGGAGCCGUGAGCAUCGCUGUAGUAAAGGGGGACUUCUUAUGAUUGAACCGAUAGAAGAAGAGGUCAUUGAACAUCCAAAAGAGAGCCUUGAACAUGAAGAAGAAGAUGCAGAAGAAGAGCCACAACCGACCGAAGUUAUGGUACAUACACUAGCUAGCUACUCAAACCCGCAAACGAUGAAAAUUGGAGGCCUUCUCAAACAACAACCAAUCACUGUUCUCAUCGACACGGGCAGUACUACUAACUUUCUAAAUAGUAAGCUUGCUGUUCGGAUAUCAUUACCUAUCAAGAAUCGCUGCAGGUUUGAUGUUAAGGUCACCGAUGGACGGAUUUUGAAUUGUGAUCAUAGGCGCUUGCAGGAGAAACUAUUGCUGCAGGACCAAGAGAUAAUUACAGAUUUCUUCCUUCUCCCUCUUAACAAUCAUGAGGC
RNAcentral lists this long non-coding RNA (1522 nucleotides) under Musa acuminata (dwarf banana). RNAcentral's name for it is "long non-coding RNA (MACU_LNC006923)". Lineage: Eukaryota; Viridiplantae; Streptophyta; Magnoliopsida; Zingiberales; Musaceae. The record is from RNAcentral.